GUUAAGUUUGAAGUAAAUGAUGUACUAAAUAGUAUUGUGUUUUACCCCACAUAUUAUGUUUUAGGAAACCAUCAACCAUUGAGAUGCUGUGACCUUUUGACAAGCCUACACAAUUCGGAUGUUGUUCAGAUGGUUGCCCCACAGUGGACAGUCUACGCAACAUUACAUAAUCAAAAUGGGGACUCGAAGGAGGACCACUGGCAUUCGGGACAGAACCCAUAUUUGUAUUGGCCAGACAUGACAUCAUGACGACUGGGCUGUAAAAUCAGCAUUUAAUGUGUCCCAUCAACCGUGAGGAAAAUCACUUAAGCACUAAAGCAUGCAUCUCCAUUUUGCCCUGCAGUCCUGUUUAACCGGUUUAUCUGUGCUGGUUUGUGGCAUGUUUGCAUCAUUGCUCCUAUUGAAAUGUGUGCUUGACAGUGUGUGCAUCGCUAGCAGUAGGCAGGAUUGAUUCUAAUUGAAUCCACCCUGAAUACACUGACAAUAUAAAAGAUACAAAAGAACUGCAAUUAAUCUGUUUAAUGUGGGACAGAAAUGAACAGAGAGAAGGACAAAUAAGAGAUCUUUUCUCAGAAAUUUCGCAGGAUUACAGCUUCCAUGUUUUGUGAGUGAAAUGACAUUGCACUGGCUUAGAAGUUAGAUGGAUCUCUAGUUAAGAAUACUGUUUAAAAGUUACUGUUAA
Long non-coding RNA from Carassius gibelio (silver crucian carp), 682 nucleotides. RefSeq lists it as uncharacterized. Lineage: Eukaryota; Metazoa; Chordata; Actinopteri; Cypriniformes; Cyprinidae. The transcript has 4 exons. The record is from RefSeq and is a predicted model, not a curated record.